CACGGCUUUUGUUUAGCUAGCCUACUCCUUCAUGCCUACGGGAAAAAAUAAUGAUGACUUUGCACGACUAGCCUAUAUAUAAAGUAAGGGCUACUGCUAGCGCCUGGACGUCCGGCGCCAGCAACGCGUCUGGACGCCUAGCCCCCCACCCGCGCCAGCAUAGAGAAGAAGAAAAAAAGAAAAGGAAACUCCACCUGCCCCUAAUUAACCAACUACCCCCUGCCCCACUCGCCCCGCACAGAAGACCGUUUCUAGUCCACUCCCUCCCAACUAACUCGCCC
This 281-nucleotide long non-coding RNA is filed under the name Sorghum bicolor (sorghum). RNAcentral describes it as "long non-coding RNA (SBIC_LNC000506)". Lineage: Eukaryota; Viridiplantae; Streptophyta; Magnoliopsida; Poales; Poaceae. The record is from RNAcentral.